AGAGUUUGAUCCUGGCUCAGAGCGAACGCUGGCGGCAGGCUUAACACAUGCAAGUCGAGCGGGCGUAGCAAUACGUCAGCGGCAGACGGGUGAGUAACGCGUGGGAACGUACCUUUUGGUUCGGAACAACACAGGGAAACUUGUGCUAAUACCGGAUAAGCCCUUACGGGGAAAGAUUUAUCGCCGAAAGAUCGGCCCGCGUCCGAUUAGCUAGUUGGUGAGGUAACGGCUCACCAAGGCGACGAUCAGUAGCUGGUCUGAGAGGAUGAUCAGCCACAUUGGGACUGAGACACGGCCCAAACUCCUACGGGAGGCAGCAGUGGGGAAUAUUGGACAAUGGGCGCAAGCCUGAUCCAGCCAUGCCGCGUGAGUGAUGAAGGCCCUAGGGUUGUAAAGCUCUUUUGUGCGGGAAGAUAAUGACGGUACCGCAAGAAUAAGCCCCGGCUAACUUCGUG
RNAcentral lists this ribosomal RNA (455 nucleotides) under uncultured bacterium. RNAcentral's name for it is "bacterial SSU rRNA". It matches the Rfam family "Bacterial small subunit ribosomal RNA", at positions 8 to 507 of the family's 1533-position model. The record is from RNAcentral.